Molecule: ribosomal RNA, 2235 nt
Filed under: Salmonella enterica subsp. enterica serovar Schwarzengrund
Lineage: Bacteria; Pseudomonadati; Pseudomonadota; Gammaproteobacteria; Enterobacterales; Enterobacteriaceae
Description: partial 23S ribosomal RNA
Rfam family: Bacterial large subunit ribosomal RNA
Source: RNAcentral
GUGACUGCGUACCUUUUGUAUAAUGGGUCAGCGACUUAUAUUCUGUAGCAAGGUUAACCGAAUAGGGGAGCCGGAGGGAAACCGAGUCUUAACCGGGCGUUAAGUUGCAGGGUAUAGACCCGAAACCCGGUGAUCUAGCCAUGGGCAGGUUGAAGGUUGGGUAACACUAACUGGAGGACCGAACCGACUAAUGUUGAAAAAUUAGCGGAUGACCUGUGGCUGGGGGUGAAAGGCCAAUCAAACCGGGAGAUAGCUGGUUCUCCCCGAAAGCUAUUUAGGUAGCGCCUCGUGAAUUCAUCUCCGGGGGUAGAGCACUGUUUCGGCUAGGGGGCCAUCCCGGCUUACCAACCCGAUGCAAACUGCGAAUACCGGAGAAUGUUAUCACGGGAGACACACGGCGGGUGCUAACGUCCGUCGUGAAGAGGGAAACAACCCAGACCGCCAGCUAAGGUCCCAAAGUCAUGGUUAAGUGGGAAACGAUGUGGGAAGGCCCAGACAGCCAGGAUGUUGGCUUAGAAGCAGCCAUCAUUUAAAGAAAGCGUAAUAGCUCACUGGUCGAGUCGGCCUGCGCGGAAGAUGUAACGGGGCUAAACCAUGCACCGAAGCUGCGGCAGCGACGCUGAUGCGUUGUUGGGUAGGGGAGCGUUCUGUAAGCCUGCGAAGGUGGCCUGUGAGGGUUGCUGGAGGUAUCAGAAGUGCGAAUGCUGACAUAAGUAACGAUAAAGCGGGUGAAAAGCCCGCUCGCCGGAAGACCAAGGGUUCCUGUCCAACGUUAAUCGGGGCAGGGUGAGUCGACCCCUAAGGCGAGGCCGAAAGGCGUAGUCGAUGGGAAACGGGUUAAUAUUCCCGUACUUGGUGUUACUGCGAAGGGGGGACGGAGAAGGCUAUGUUGGCCGGGCGACGGUUGUCCCGGUUUAAGCGUGUAGGUGUGUGUUCCAGGUAAAUCCGGUUCACUUUAACACUGAGGCGUGAUGACGAGGCACUACGGUGCUGAAGCAACAAAUGCCCUGCUUCCAGGAAAAGCCUCUAAGCAUCAGGUAACAUCAAAUCGUACCCCAAACCGACACAGGUGGUCAGGUAGAGAAUACCAAGGCGCUUGAGAGAACUCGGGUGAAGGAACUAGGCAAAAUGGUGCCGUAACUUCGGGAGAAGGCACGCUGACACGUAGGUGAAGUGAUUUACUCAUGGAGCUGAAGUCAGUCGAAGAUACCAGCUGGCUGCAACUGUUUAUUAAAAACACAGCACUGUGCAAACACGAAAGUGGACGUAUACGGUGUGACGCCUGCCCGGUGCCGGAAGGUUAAUUGAUGGGGUCAGCGCAAGCGAAGCUCCUGAUCGAAGCCCCGGUAAACGGCGGCCGUAACUAUAACGGUCCUAAGGUAGCGAAAUUCCUUGUCGGGUAAGUUCCGACCUGCACGAAUGGCGUAAUGAUGGCCAGGCUGUCUCCACCCGAGACUCAGUGAAAUUGAACUCGCUGUGAAGAUGCAGUGUACCCGCGGCAAGACGGAAAGACCCCGUGAACCUUUACUAUAGCUUGACACUGAACAUUGAGCCUUGAUGUGUAGGAUAGGUGGGAGGCUUUGAAGUGUGGACGCCAGUCUGCAUGGAGCCGGCCUUGAAAUACCACCCUUUAAUGUUUGAUGUUCUAACGUGGACCCGUGAUCCGGGUUGCGGACAGUGUCUGGUGGGUAGUUUGACUGGGGCGGUCUCCUCCUAAAGAGUAACGGAGGAGCACGAAGGUUGGCUAAUCCUGGUCGGACAUCAGGAGGUUAGUGCAAUGGCAUAAGCCAGCUUGACUGCGAGCGUGACGGCGCGAGCAGGUGCGAAAGCAGGUCAUAGUGAUCCGGUGGUUCUGAAUGGAAGGGCCAUCGCUCAACGGAUAAAAGGUACUCCGGGGAUAACAGGCUGAUACCGCCCAAGAGUUCAUAUCGACGGCGGUGUUUGGCACCUCGAUGUCGGCUCAUCACAUCCUGGGGCUGAAGUAGGUCCCAAGGGUAUGGCUGUUCGCCAUUUAAAGUGGUACGCGAGCUGGGUUUAGAACGUCGUGAGACAGUUCGGUCCCUAUCUGCCGUGGGCGCUGGAGAACUGAGGGGGGCUGCUCCUAGUACGAGAGGACCGGAGUGGACGCAUCACUGGUGUUCGGGUUGUCAUGCCAAUGGCACUGCCCGGUAGCUAAAUGCGGAAGAGAUAAGUGCUGAAAGCAUCUAAGCACGAAACUUGCCCCGAGAUGAGUUC